Molecule: ribosomal RNA, 488 nt
Filed under: uncultured Pseudomonadota bacterium
Lineage: Bacteria; Pseudomonadati; Pseudomonadota
Description: bacterial SSU rRNA
Rfam family: Bacterial small subunit ribosomal RNA
Source: RNAcentral
GAGCGGCCGAUGCCCGAUUAGCUAGUUGGCGGGGUAAUGGCCCACCAAGGCGACGAUCGGUAGCUGGUCUGAGAGGACGACCAGCCACACUGGGACUGAGACACGGCCCAGACUCCUACGGGAGGCAGCAGUGGGGAAUUUUGGACAAUGGGGGCAACCCUGAUCCAGCCAUGCCGCGUGUGUGAAGAAGGCCUUCGGGUUGUAAAGCACUUUCGGACGGAACGAAAUCGCGCGGGCGAAUAUCCCGCGUGGAUGACGGUACCGUAAGAAGAAGCACCGGCUAACUACGUGCCAGCAGCCGCGGUAAUACGUAGGGUGCGAGCGUUAAUCGGAAUUACUGGGCGUAAAGUGUGCGCAGGCGGCCGCGCAAGUCGAGUGUGAAAGCCCCGGGCUUAACUUGGGAAUUGCGCUCGAAACUACGUGGCUGGAGUGUGGCAGAGGAAGGUGGAAUUCCACGUGUAGCGGUGAAAUGCGUAGAGAUGUGGAGG